GGCUGUUCCACUGGAUGUCAUAAGGUGCAUGCACCAAUUUGUAAGUCGCUCUGGAUAAGAGCGUCUGCUAAAUGACUUAAAUGUAAUGUAAAUGUAAAUGGACGAUGAGCAUUGAUACGUUUUAUCUGUAAUUUCUCUUCAUUAUGACAAGGAUUAAAGAAGGAUUUGCCUGUAGAUUGUCACCUUUAUUCAUGAUGAUGACUGCUAGCUAAGAUUUUCAGUCCAAUCAAAGCGACUGUAGAUAUACUGUGAUUUGACUUCAUUUUAUUUGUGGCUAAUGACCUUGAGCCUUCUUGGAUGGGCACUUCUAAUGUAACUCUUUGGCAGCACCCAAGGGGCUAGAAUUAUUUUGCUUUACCCUUAGACUUGGCGGUGACGUUGUAUCCCCAUGAGUGACAGAACACUGAGCCAAUCAUGGCGCAACGCUCCAUAUUUUCUGCUGGCUUGCCCCACCACCAUUGAAAGCACUGAGCUAUGCUGAAACACCUCCAUUUUGGAGCUGCCUUAUUCAAGAAAACAAAAGAGACCAACUUUUUAUGUGGCUCAAUUAUAUAUAUAUAUAUAUAUUGACAUUGUUUGCAAACUGAUAUGUAUUAAUGCAAAACAGGCAAGCUAUAAAUGUGGCGUUCAGAGCCCCAGCUGCCCUGAACGACGGGUCGCCCCUGCUACUAUAUAUACACUUCUCUAAACACUAUCACACUAUCCAAAUGUGUCUCCUCUGUGUGAGAAGCCAAACAGUCUACCAAGAGGUCUGGCUGCACCCUAUAACCAUAGUCCCAAAUCCCACGAUUCCCUCUCAAUCACAACAUUGGUGGCAGCAGUGGGAUAAUAUCUCAGGUCUUCUCAGGUUAGUUAACAUUUACAAAGUGAAAGUCUUAGGGCAAUGAGUCUGCAGUAAUGAACAGGUAAAUGAGCCACUGGAUGGCAAUGUUCACGCCAUCCUUCCAUUAUCUGGGACUACAUUUCCAAACACCCAGAGAUAUUUUAGUGAGCCUCCUGGCCCAUUCACUAGACGUUUUUGAUAGGACAAGGGCGUAUUCAUUAGCCAAUUCUGUUUCAAAACGGAAGCAUACUGAACGAAACUGGGAGGGACUUACAUGAAUGUGUCCAAAAGAAACGUGCAACUGUUUGGACUAAUGAUUACACCCCAGGGCUAGAAGAUUACCUAGUAAAGGAGUUGGAACCUGUCCUUGACCAGAAUAGUAUUGUCUUUCCGCAGGACGUGGAGCGCAUCAAAUGGUUUCAUAUUUCUACUCAACUCCACCCCUCGUGCGAUGUUUAUGUUCAGGAUUGUUUAUGGCUGGUGACCAUGUUGUUCUGCGAACCAAUGUGUCGGUCUCUGACUUUUACGUUGGUGGCAGCAUGUCCAAAUGUUCUCGACCUCUCCCUGCGCUUCAACCACGAAAGAGGUGAAUUAGCACUCGAAGCAGUGGACUCUAGUUGUUAACCCCUUUAGCAAAGUGCGGGUUCAGCGCCAAUGUAACAUCUCCAUACGACGUAUAGACCCGCACGCUUUUCCCGAGGCGAACCGGGCCUUCAUCACCAUUCACGGUACCAGUGCAGAUCAGGGCGUCAAACUAGACAACUUUCAGGUUCUCUACGAUGACCAAAACAAGGAACUGUUUAUCAUGUCCAAGAAAGUCAACAAUGUGACAGUUGAGCUGACAACUCCCAUUAAAAGUGUUGAGUGUUUUGGUUUGUGAUGUUCAACCACGAGUUUAGAGCCACUGUUUGCAUCAUGAAUCAAAGUAGGCCAAUCAGAGAAUAGCUCUUAGUUGUACUAACUGUACUAGGAUCAGACUGUCAGCUGAUGCUAAUAAUUACAUCAUUGAUCUGAUGACCCGUAACCAAGCACUUCCCCUAUCUCUUAUAAAACCAGUGAUCAGAUAGAUAUCACAUGUCCUACACAGAGUGUGUGUGUCAGACCUUUACAUCACCACUCAAGGAGAGGGCAAUGUGCGUGUCAAGAAGAUGGAGUGUGAUACCUGAAGGUUGGAGACAGAGAGUGGAAACUGUGCUGCACGCAGUCAAAAUAAAUAUGAAUGGGAUUAAAGCUGUACUGUCAAGAUAAAUAUGAAUAAGAUUAUAUGACUAAAACUACAGCCACGUCGUCUUGUUAUAAUGCCGGAGCCCCUUCUCCCUCUGUGAAUGCAAGUAUAAGGUGUCCUGGAUCUUGUCGGGUCGUCCGAUUGGCUGCAGCAGCUGGCCAAGACUGUCAUAGCCGAACCAUAGACCAUGUUGAUGGUGUUGAGCUGUGGGCAGCCUGUCUGUAGGAAGCGUGGUGUGCGAUCAGUCAGCAGAACACAGCCACUCACGUCCAGCUCUCUCAGGAAGUGACGCCCUACUGUCAGCCCGUCUGGCCUCCGUGAGUUUGACCAGUUCAACAACAGCCCCCACUUCUUCAUCUAUGGCGUUCUAGAAGACCUCUAUUUCCUGUCCCUGCUAAGGCUGGGUGGAAACCCCUGGGUCUGUAACUACAGCAUCCACUACCUGGUGUACUGGCUACGUCUGCACCCAGGGGUGACCCACUCUGGCCUGCUGUGCCACCCCCCUUCCAUGCUUGGAGUAAAGAGUGUGGAGGACUACGUCCACUCCUACAACAGAGCCUGCGGCUAGACAGAACACAAUCAGACACAAUACGGCCCGAAAGAUUACAGCCAGACAGAUCCGGAGUUGUGGAACACUGCUAUGGUGUUGCAGGGGGAGCUAGAGGAGGAGGAGGUGGCACAUCUGAAAGGACUGCCGAAAUACUGCAUCACUAGAUUGAAUUAAACAACCACCGAAGGAUGGAAUGACUGACAUCUUAAACAUCUUUAAAGAGCGACUGCCUUUAAAAAGCAAUGAAUCCCUUUGAAAAUUACAUUGAUAUGAAUCAGAAACAGUUAUUCUAGUGUCAAACUUGACUACAAAGUGUAAAUAGGAACAUUUUGGUCAUAAAGUCUUGUCGAAAACGGAGUUUGGAAAAUCCAUGCGUUAUAACAGGUAAAGUAAGUUUGGGUUUUGAUUUGACAAUGUCCAUUUGUCUACUACCAUGGGGUGAACAACUGUGGUGAUUGCUCUCUAUCCAAUAUAAUAGACAAACCUGCUCAGCAGUGCCGACUGUUUACAUAAGACAACAUGUCCUGCAUUGUUUUACUUGAGAAAUACUGCAAACACCUUAGUUACAGUUGGAAGUUUACAUACACCUUAGCCAAAUACAUUUAAACUCAGUUUUUCACAAUUCCUGACAUUUAAUCCUAGUAAAAAGUCCCCGUCUUAGGUCAGUUAGGAUCACCACUUUAUUUUAAGAAUGUGAAAUGUCAGAAUAAUAGUAGAGAAUUAUUUAUUUCAGCUUUUAUUUCUUUCAUCACAUUCCCAGUGGGUCAGAAGAUGACAUACACUCAAUUAGUAUUUGGUAGCAUUGCCUUUAAAUUGUUUAACUUGUGUGAAAUGUUUUGGGUAGCCUUCCACAAGCUUCCCACAAUAAGUUGGGUGAAUUUUGGCCCAUUCCUCCUGACAGAGCUGGUGUAACUGAAUCAGGUUUAUAAUCCUCCUUGCUCGCACAUACUUUUUCAGUUCUGCCCACACAUUUUCUAUGGGAUUGAGGUCAGGGCUUUGUGAUGGCCACUACAAUACCUUGACUUUGUUGUCCUUAAGCCAUUUUGCCACAACUUGAAAGUAUGCUUUGGGUCAUUGUUCAUUUGGAAGACCCAUUUGCAACCAAGCUUUAAUUUUCUGACUGAUGUCUUGAGAUGUUGCUUCAAUAUAUCCAUAUAGUUUUAAUGCCUCAUGAUGCCAUCUAUUUUGUGAAGUGAACCAGUCCCUCCUGCAGCAAAGCAGCCCCGGCUUGCAAGCCUCCCCCUUUUUCCUCCAAACAUAACGAUAGUCAUUAUGGCCAAACAGUUCUACAUAUAUUUUUUUUUAUGACUCCAAUCUAAGUGUAUGCAAACUUCCGACUUCAACUGUAGAUGUAAAAUUGCGCAACUAUAGCAUCCUCGGCAAAAACAUCUAAAUUAUUUUCAGAUUUUUGAGAGUUAUCUUACAUUCAUUCUGGGGAUUUUGAAGAAGUGAAAUAGGGUUGGGGGAAUAACAUAAUUAACCAAACACGGAAUCGGGCUGGAAACACCUCCAAGACGAUCAGUGUGUUCAGUGGCUCUUUAAAUACUUUUUAGUCUUAUUUUAUAGAUAAUUUAAAUUUAGUCUGUAUCAGAUGGUGAAACUAACUUUGUUUUAACAUUUACAUUUACAUUUAAGUAAUUUAGCAGACGCUCUUAUCCAGAGCGACUUACAAAUUGGUGCAUUCACCUUAUUUUUAAUAUUGUUGUUCCUGCUUUGUCAGUGUUGUCUCAAUCAGAUGAUUUGGAAAUUACAGAAAUGUUAUAUUGGUAGAGUCAUUUGAAUGUACAUGUAGCUGUGAAAUGAAACACAAUCACAUUUACGUAAUUGUGCAUUUUUGUUGUAUGUGUGUUAGUGUGUGUGCAUGCUUCCAUGCAGGUAUGUCAUCUUUACACCCAUGCGUGUAUGUGUAUGUCUGUGUGUGUGUAU
RNA transcript from Oncorhynchus keta (chum salmon), 4524 nucleotides. It is a transcript of the gene named leucine-rich repeat-containing protein 17-like, with no coding region annotated. The record is from RefSeq and is a predicted model, not a curated record. Lineage: Eukaryota; Metazoa; Chordata; Actinopteri; Salmoniformes; Salmonidae. The transcript has 5 exons.